GUCAAGGAGAGGGCAGAAGCUAAG
This 24-nucleotide non-coding RNA is filed under the name Cricetulus griseus (Chinese hamster). The record is from RNAcentral. Lineage: Eukaryota; Metazoa; Chordata; Mammalia; Rodentia; Cricetidae.